UACGGGGGGGGCAAGCGUUUGUUCGGAAUUACUGGGCGUAAAGGGCUCGUAGGCGGCCAACUAAGUCAGACGUGAAAUCCCUCAGCUUAACUGGGGAACUGCGUCUGAUACUGGAUGGCUUGAGAUUGGGAGAGGGAUGCGGAAUUCCAGGUGUAGCGGUGAAAUGCGUAGAUAUCUGGAGGAACACCGGUGGCGAAGGCGGCAUCCUGGACCAACACUGACGCUGAGGAGCGAAAAGCCAGGGGGAGCAAACAGG
RNAcentral lists this ribosomal RNA (256 nucleotides) under uncultured bacterium. RNAcentral's name for it is "partial 16S ribosomal RNA". It matches the Rfam family "Bacterial small subunit ribosomal RNA", at positions 524 to 776 of the family's 1533-position model. The record is from RNAcentral.